Molecule: ribosomal RNA, 253 nt
Filed under: uncultured bacterium
Lineage: Bacteria
Description: partial 16S ribosomal RNA
Rfam family: Bacterial small subunit ribosomal RNA
Source: RNAcentral
UACGGAGGGAGCUAGCGUUGUUCGGAAUUACUGGGCGUAAAGGGCGCGUAGGCGGCCUACUAAGUCGGACGUGAAAUCCCUCGGCUCAACCGGGGAACUGCGUCCGAUACUGGUGGGCUCGAAUCCGGGAGAGGGAUGUGGAAUUCCAGGUGUAGCGGUGAAAUGCGUAGAUAUCUGGAGGAACACCGGUGGCGAAGGCGGCAUCCUGGACCGGUAUUGACGCUGAUGCGCGAAAGCUAGGGGAGCAAACAGG